RNAcentral lists this transfer RNA (53 nucleotides) under Eucalanus bungii. Its description in RNAcentral is "tRNA Ser(AGR)". The record is from RNAcentral. Lineage: Eukaryota; Metazoa; Arthropoda; Copepoda; Calanoida; Eucalanidae.
GCUAUAAAAGAUGUAAACUUCUAAUUUAUUUUCCAAGCAUAUUUGUUUUAGUC